Molecule: ribosomal RNA, 437 nt
Filed under: uncultured bacterium
Lineage: Bacteria
Description: bacterial SSU rRNA
Rfam family: Bacterial small subunit ribosomal RNA
Source: RNAcentral
GCAUAACGCGAAGAACCUUACCCACCUUUGACAUGUACGGAAUCCUUUAGAGAUAGAGGAGUGCUCGAAAGAGAACCGUAACACAGGUGCUGCAUGGCUGUCGUCAGCUCGUGUCGUGAGAUGUUGGGUUAAGUCCCGCAACGAGCGCAACCCUUGCCAUUAGUUGCUACGAAAGGGCACUCUAAUGGGACUGCCGGUGACAAACCGGAGGAAGGGUGGGGAUGACGUCAAGUCCUCAUCGGCCCUUAUAGGGUGGGGCUACACACGUCAUACAAUGGCUGGUACAGAGGGUUGCCAACCCGCGAGGGGGAGCUAAUCCCAUAAAGCCAGUCGUAGUCCGGAUCGCAGUCUGCAACUCGACUGCGUGAAGUCGGAAUCGCUAGUAAUCGCGGAUCAGAAUGCCGCGGUGAAUACGUUCCCGGGUCUUGUACACACCG